ACCGGCGCACGGGUGAGUAACGCGUAUACAUCUGCCUCAUACUAGGGGAUAGCCCAGAGAAAUUUGGAUUAAUACCCUAUAGUGAGUCAUCUCUAAAGAUUACGGUAUGAGAUGAGUAUGCGUUCUAUUAGUUAGUAGGUGAGGUAACGGCUCACCUAGACCGCGAUAGAUAGGGGCCCUGAGAGGGGGAUCCCCCACACUGGUACUGAGACACGGACCAGACUCCUACGGGAGGCAGCAGUGAGGAAUAUUGGACAAUGGGCGAAAGCCUGAUCCAGCCAUGCCGCGUGCAGGAUGACGGCCUAUGGGUUGUAAACUGCUUUUAUACAGGAAGAAAAAACUCUACGUGUAGAGUCUUGACGGUACUGUAAGAAUAAGGAUCGGCUAACUCCGUGCCAGCAGCCGCGGUAAUACGGAGGAUCCAAGCGUUAUCCGGAAUUAUUGGGUUUAAAGGGUCCGUAGGUGGACAAUUAAGUCAGAGGUGAAAUCCUGCAGCUCAACUGUAGAAUUGCCUUUGAAACUGGUUGUCUUGAGUCAUUAUGAAGUGGUUAGAAUGUGUAGUGUAGCGGUGAAAUGCAUAGAUAUUACACAGAAUACCAUUUGCGAAGGCAGAUCACUAAUUAUUGACUGACACUGAUGGACGAAGCGUGGGUAGCGACAGAUAGAAUACCCUGAUAGUCCACG
Molecule: ribosomal RNA, 684 nt
Filed under: uncultured bacterium
Lineage: Bacteria
Description: bacterial SSU rRNA
Rfam family: Bacterial small subunit ribosomal RNA
Source: RNAcentral